CAGUAGCCGCGGGAAUACGUAGGUGGCAAGCGCUGUCCGGAAUUAUUGGGCGUAAAGGGCUCGCAGGCGGUUUCUUAAGUCUGAUGUGAAAGCCCCCGGCUCAACCGGGGAGGGUCAUUGGAAACUGGGAAACUUGAGUGCAGAAGAGGAGAGUGGAAUUCCACGUGUAGCGGUGAAAUGCGUAGAGAUGUGGAGGAACACCAGUGGCGAAGGCGACUCUCUGGUCUGUAACUGACGCUGAGGAGCGAAAGCGUGGGGAGCGAACAGGAUUAGAGACCCGUGUAGUCCCUGUCUCUUAUAC
This 301-nucleotide ribosomal RNA is filed under the name uncultured bacterium. RNAcentral's name for it is "partial 16S ribosomal RNA". It matches the Rfam family "Bacterial small subunit ribosomal RNA", at positions 509 to 807 of the family's 1533-position model. The record is from RNAcentral.